UCCUUCCCCGGACGGCGUCGGCGGUCAGUGCGACUCCGAGGCUUUGCGAGAUGCGACCGUCCGACGCCGCCGCCACCGUUGCCGAUGACUUGCGGUAGGCCUUUGUCGUGACAUUUGAGUUUUCUAUCCGCCGACAGUGGCGGACGUUUAAACGCUCCACCGAUACUACAAACGCCAUCACCAUUUACUGUUGGUUGAGCUCGUCGUCUCCCACUGGGAGACAUAACUAUGGACCGUCAGCGCUGGGUGGAAAGAGAGGCACCUUCCCGAACGUCGCAAUGCAAGAAGUGGAGAGGGCCAAGGCUAGACAUAUGGCAAAAAAACAAAACAGCAAAGUAGAACGGCAAAAAUCAUCAGACAAAACGUUAUCCAAAGCACCAAGUAUUGAGACCAAAAAACAAGAAAAAUGAAAAACAAUAUUCACAUAUUAAAGAUUUUAUUUUUUUAGCACUUUCACUGAAAAUGAUAACAACACAGUAAUUCGUAAUCAAACAUACUUCUUUAAGUAGGUACACUAUAAUAUUGUUAUUGUAAUUUAUAACACACAUCAUAAUUUCAUUUUAUAUUUACAUAAUAAUGAUCGUGUUAAUUUUACCUCAAAUGUUAUCACGUUUCAUUUAUUCAACGACCAAACAUAUUUUGUAACGUUUAGAGUGCAGAACAACUAUAAUAGAAAUAUAUUAUGUAUUAUCUAUCUGUUGUAAAAUAAUUUUAUGUCACACAUAUAUUUUUUUUUUUAUAAAUUUAAAGCUCAAACAUCUUUGAAUGUUUAAUAAUACUAUACGUACUUUGUAAGCGUCUUAGACGUAUGUCACACACAUUCAUAUUUAUAUUAUUACACCUAUACUAUAUUUAUAGACUUAUGCGUAAUAUGAAUGGAAAUAAAUAAAUAUAGUUUCAUUUUAACAAUUUUUAUGAUUUAUACUCUCAUAAUCUAACAUGAAUAAACUACAAUAUAUUUUAUUUAUCACUA
Aphis gossypii (cotton aphid) is the source of this 973-nucleotide long non-coding RNA. RefSeq lists it as uncharacterized. The record is from RefSeq and is a predicted model, not a curated record. Lineage: Eukaryota; Metazoa; Arthropoda; Insecta; Hemiptera; Aphididae. The transcript is spliced from 4 exons.